This 214-nucleotide unclassified non-coding RNA is filed under the name plant metagenome. Its description in RNAcentral is "partial contains small subunit ribosomal RNA, internal transcribed spacer 1, and 5.8S ribosomal RNA". The record is from RNAcentral.
UCUCCGUAGGUGAACCUGCGGAGGGAUCACUACAGGCUUGCAAAAGCUCUGGAACCACUGUGUAACUACCUGAAUCUGCUUCGGCGGGCGGCCCCAGGGCGGGGACCUUGCCGCAAGGCGCCCGCCGUAGACCCCUAAACCCUAUGGUCUUGAGAAAUUCUGAGUAUCAUAUUAAACAAAAAAACAACUUUCAACAACGGAUCUCUUGGCUCUG